RNAcentral lists this ribosomal RNA (467 nucleotides) under uncultured bacterium. RNAcentral describes it as "partial 16S ribosomal RNA". It matches the Rfam family "Bacterial small subunit ribosomal RNA", at positions 29 to 507 of the family's 1533-position model. The record is from RNAcentral.
ACGAACGCUGGCGGCGUGCUUAACACAUGCAAGUCGAACGGAAAGGCCCUGCUUUUGUGGGGUGCUCGAGUGGCGAACGGGUGAGUAACACGUGAGUAACCUGCCCUUGACUUUGGGAUAACUUCAGGAAACUGGGGCUAAUACCGGAUAGGAGCUCCUGCUGCAUGGUGGGGGGUGGAAAGUUUCGGCGGUUGGGGAUGGACUCGCGGCUUAUCAGCUUGUUGGUGGGGUAGUGGCUUACCAAGGCUUUGACGGGUAGCCGGCCUGAGAGGGUGACCGGCCACAUUGGGACUGAGAUACGGCCCAGACUCCUACGGGAGGCAGCAGUGGGGAAUAUUGCACAAUGGGCGGAAGCCUGAUGCAGCAACGCCGCGUGCGGGAUGACGGCCUUCGGGUUGUAAACCGCCUUCGCCUGUGACGAAGCGUGAGUGACGGUAAUGGGUAAAGAAGCACCGGCUAACUACGUG